Molecule: long non-coding RNA, 580 nt
Organism: Bombus huntii
Lineage: Eukaryota; Metazoa; Arthropoda; Insecta; Hymenoptera; Apidae
Exons: 2
Source: RefSeq, a predicted model, not a curated record
CGUGCGUGUUUCUCAGGCACGUCAUUUUAGAAUUCAUUUAAUAGCACGUUCCUUCAAGAAGGAUCGAUCCAUUAGAUAUCUCUUCGUGCAUCUUUGGAUAAUUUUAAAGAAAUUACACUCGAAAUGUUAAUGCAAUGUACAAAAGUUACUGAAGAAAAAAUGGAGGCUUAAUUAUGGCGGAUGAAAUUAAAUAACAUUAAUGUUGAUAAUACUAUAGUAAUGGCGACGAUAGACGAUAGACGAUAGACGACGUUCGAGAAUGACAACGUAUUACGUAAUUCUACGAUAUUUUUAUUCCCUUGAUCAGAGAACACCGGAGCGAGCAGGCGUACAAAGAAUUUGUUCGCUGCUCAGGAUCGUAUGCUGUUCGUAUCUAUUUACUUAUCUUGAUCUGUAAAACCUCGAACGAGGUUCCUUCGUUUCUUAAAGAUUCUUUCGAUAGGAAUCUCUUUAUAUUCUACAGAAUCAAUCACUUGAAAAGUAUCUUUUUUUUUUUUUUUAGGAAUAUCUUAUAAUUUGAGAAAUUAUUCUACAGGAUGUUUUAUUCAACAUUUAAAUGAAAUAAAUCAUUCAAUAUGCA